AGUGAACGCUGGCGGUAGGCCUAACACAUGCAAGUCGAACGGCAGCACAGUAAGAGCUUGCUCUUACGGGUGGCGAGUGGCGGACGGGUGAGGAAUACAUCGGAAUCUACUUUUUCGUGGGGGAUAACGUAGGGAAACUUACGCUAAUACCGCAUACGACCUACGGGUGAAAGCAGGGGAUCUUCGGACCUUGCGCGAUUGAAUGAGCCGAUGUCGGAUUAGCUAGUUGGCGGGGUAAAGGCCCACCAAGGCGACGAUCCGUAGCUGGUCUGAGAGGAUGAUCAGCCACACUGGAACUGAGACACGGUCCAGACUCCUACGGGAGGCAGCAGUGGGGAAUCUUGGACAAUGGGCGCAAGCCUGAUCCAGCCAUACCGCGUGGGUGAAGAAGGCCUUCGGGUUGUAAAGCCCUUUUGUUGGGAAAGAAAAGCAGCAGGUUAAUCCACCGCUGUUCUGACGGUACCCAAAGAAUAAGCAACGGCUAACUUCGUG
RNAcentral lists this ribosomal RNA (492 nucleotides) under uncultured bacterium. Its description in RNAcentral is "partial 16S ribosomal RNA". It matches the Rfam family "Bacterial small subunit ribosomal RNA", at positions 29 to 507 of the family's 1533-position model. The record is from RNAcentral.